GGGGCCGUAGGGUAGCCUGGUUAUCCUGCGGCGUUCGGGACGCCGUGACCCGAGUUCAAAUCUCGGCGGCCCCA
Molecule: transfer RNA, 74 nt
Filed under: Archaeoglobales archaeon ex4484_92
Lineage: Archaea; Methanobacteriati; Methanobacteriota; Archaeoglobi; Archaeoglobales
Description: tRNA-Pro
Rfam family: tRNA
About the family: Transfer RNA (tRNA) molecules are approximately 80 nucleotides in length. Their secondary structure includes four short double-helical elements and three loops (D, anti-codon, and T loops).
Source: RNAcentral